CUUUGGGAUAACCCUCGGAAACGGGGGCUAAUACCGGAUAUUCACAGUCUGUCGCAUGGUGGGUUGUGGAAAGUUUUUGCGGCUGGGGAUGGGCUCGCGGCCUAUCAGCUUGUUGGUGGGGUGAUGGCCUACCAAGGCGUUGACGGGUAGCCGGCCUGAGAGGGCGACCGGCCACACUGGGACUGAGACACGGCCCAGACUCCUACGGGAGGCAGCAGUGGGGAAUAUUGCACAAUGGGCGGAAGCCUGAUGCAGCGACGCCGCGUGAGGGAUGACGGCCUUCGGGUUGUAAACCUCUUUCAGCAGGGACGAAGCGCAAGUGACGGUACCUGCAGAAGAAGCGCCGGCCAACUACGUGCCAGCAGCCGCGGUAAGACGUAGGGCGCGAGCGUUGUCCGGAUUUAUUGGGCGUAAAGAGCUCGUAGGCGGCUUGUCGCGUCGACCGUGGAAACCUGCAGCUUAACUGUGGGCUUGCAGUUGAUACGGGCAGGCUAGAGUUCGGUAGGGGAGACUGGAAUUCCUGGUGUAGCGGUGAAAUGCGCAGAUAUCAGGAGGAACACCGGUGGCGAAGGCGGGUCUCUGGGCCGAUACUGACGCUGAGGAGCGAAAGCGUGGGGAGCGAACAGGAUUAGAUACCCUGGUAGUCCACGCUGUAAACGUUGGGCGC
RNAcentral lists this ribosomal RNA (667 nucleotides) under uncultured Micromonosporaceae bacterium. RNAcentral describes it as "bacterial SSU rRNA". It matches the Rfam family "Bacterial small subunit ribosomal RNA", at positions 136 to 816 of the family's 1533-position model. Lineage: Bacteria; Bacillati; Actinomycetota; Actinomycetes; Micromonosporales; Micromonosporaceae. The record is from RNAcentral.